AUGGGUGGGCGUCGUGAUCACGGGCAGUGUCCCGCCGAGGUUAUUCUCCACCUCCGGCGGCUGGACGCUCUCCUCAAGGACCACGGCCUUGACCACACCGCCCACACGCUGGAGAUGGAGGCGGGGCUGUUCUUCGAGGCGGCGCAUCUGGAGCAAGUGAGGCAAGGGCUCUGGGCCUCUACCCACCGCUACCUGCGGCGCUUCUCGGCGCUCUGGGGAGACGGGGACGGGGAUGGCGCCGCCACCAAGUACGCCACCCUCCUCAGCAGCCUCUCCCACCAUUCCAUACUUGCCUGGCUGGCCUGCCGCGGCGACGAAGGCGGUCGCGCUGCCUCUUUCCUCAGGCCCUCCGAUGAGGCCAUCCGCAAGACCUGCCCCGAGGAAGCCCGACGCAAGGACAUGUACUGCUCCAUGACUUCCCAACAAGCCAGAGCAUCCAUGAACUGGGAGGAUAUAAAGCUCGAGACCUUGACGAGGGUGCAAGAGUUGGUUCGUCUGCGUCCCAACCUGGACCGCCUGCUGAAAAGGGGCUCUCGGAGAUACCGGAGGAAGAGAGUCGACCAUAAACCAGCACGUGAUCUCGCGUAUUUUGUUCUACACAAGAGGUACCAAACACAGGGUUUCUGUCUUUGUGUACUUUUUUUAUCAAGAAUAUGCGAUAUCAUCAACAUUUACACAAAUUCCUUUCUUCUGUGCAGGCUGCCCUCUAGUCAUAAGAUAAAAUAG
Molecule: ribosomal RNA, 726 nt
Filed under: Triticum aestivum (bread wheat)
Lineage: Eukaryota; Viridiplantae; Streptophyta; Magnoliopsida; Poales; Poaceae
Description: partial small subunit ribosomal RNA
Source: RNAcentral